UUGACAGUGCAGGCGACUGAAGUCCUCUGUAUAUCCGCAGGGCAGGCAUGGUACAGCGCUUCCUUGCACAGCCUUGCCCAUGAGCUCGUCCCUGGCCUGGAGGGACCCACUCUAGAGGUGGUAAGUAAUUCAGUCUUUCUGCUAGCUCAGUCCUGGGCCUCU
This 162-nucleotide small RNA is filed under the name Castor canadensis (American beaver). RNAcentral's name for it is "TUC338 (ENSCCNG00000009360.1)". The record is from RNAcentral. Lineage: Eukaryota; Metazoa; Chordata; Mammalia; Rodentia; Castoridae.